GUACUUCUUCUCAUUACAUGAUUUUAUGUUUUUCUUUUCUUCUUUCAGAAACGAAAUAUCAAGACAAAUAUUUGGCUCAUUUCAUUUCCAAUCAUCCUGUGUUUAUUGACUCUCGUCCUCAAAAGAUUGUCGGACCAGAUAUGGGAUGAACCCGCUGAGUGUGGCUGUAGUAAAGAGGCAGGGUGUUACUAUGAAUUUGCUUUCAAUGGAGGUAUCCGUUGUGCGUUUCCUAACCCUCCAGAAUGGCCUCCAUUGUUUCAAAUACCUGCUCCUGAAUAUCGCGCUGUGAGAAGUGAGGUUGUUCCUUUUACAGAUUUGCCAGAUGAGUCAUGCAGGACCCAAGAGUCCUGCCCUGCAGCUCUACUUUUCACAGGAAAUAAUCAAACACUUGGCUCAAGUGUGCUCUCUCUCCUUUCUGUGUGUUUGUUUUGUAAUGCUAGUUUGUUCUUUUUGUGUUUUGGGUAUUUGAACUGAUGGGAUGCUAUGCUGACAAUAAAUAUUUUUGUUUGUUUAAUCGUGUAUGUUGUGAUAGUUUUGGCUGGGAAUAGAUCCCCAGGGCUUUCAGUAGAAAGUCUUUAGCAGAUGAUGCUUUUGUAAGUUGUCUUUCUUCUUCUUUGCUCUGCCUUCUUAGGUUUAUGACUAAUUAUCCGUU
Molecule: long non-coding RNA, 652 nt
Filed under: Prunus dulcis (almond)
Lineage: Eukaryota; Viridiplantae; Streptophyta; Magnoliopsida; Rosales; Rosaceae
Description: sRNA ncRNA
Source: RNAcentral